Molecule: ribosomal RNA, 924 nt
Filed under: Staphylococcus aureus
Lineage: Bacteria; Bacillati; Bacillota; Bacilli; Caryophanales; Staphylococcaceae
Description: partial 23S ribosomal RNA
Rfam family: Bacterial large subunit ribosomal RNA
Source: RNAcentral
UGGCGUUGCCCAGACAACUAGGAUGUUGGCUUAGAAGCAGCCAUCAUUUAAAGAGUGCGUAAUAGCUCACUAGUCGAGUGACACUGCGCCGAAAAUGUACCGGGGCUAAACAUAUUACCGAAGCUGUGGAUUGUCCUUUGGACAAUGGUAGGAGAGCGUUCUAAGGGCGUUGAAGCAUGAUCGUAAGGACAUGUGGAGCGCUUAGAAGUGAGAAUGCCGGUGUGAGUAGCGAAAGACGGGUGAGAAUCCCGUCCACCGAUUGACUAAGGUUUCCAGAGGAAGGCUCGUCCGCUCUGGGUUAGUCGGGUCCUAAGCUGAGGCCGACAGGCGUAGGCGAUGGAUAACAGGUUGAUAUUCCUGUACCACCUAUAAUCGUUUUAAUCGAUGGGGGGACGCAGUAGGAUAGGCGAAGCGUGCGAUUGGAUUGCACGUCUAAGCAGUAAGGCUGAGUAUUAGGCAAAUCCGGUACUCGUUAAGGCUGAGCUGUGAUGGGGAGAAGACAUUGUGUCUUCGAGUCGUUGAUUUCACACUGCCGAGAAAAGCCUCUAGAUAGAAAAUAGGUGCCCGUACCGCAAACCGACACAGGUAGUCAAGAUGAGAAUUCUAAGGUGAGCGAGCGAACUCUCGUUAAGGAACUCGGCAAAAUGACCCCGUAACUUCGGGAGAAGGGGUGCUCUUUAGGGUUAACGCCCAGAAGAGCCGCAGUGAAUAGGCCCAAGCGACUGUUUAUCAAAAACACAGGUCUCUGCUAAACCGUAAGGUGAUGUAUAGGGGCUGACGCCUGCCCGGUGCUGGAAGGUUAAGAGGAGUGGUUAGCUUCUGCGAAGCUACGAAUCGAAGCCCCAGUAAACGGCGGCCGUAACUAUAACGGUCCUAAGGUAGCGAAAUUCCUUGUCGGGUAAGUUCCGACCCGCACGAAAGGCG